GACGAACGCUGGCGGCGUGCUUAACACAUGCAAGUCGAGCGGUAAGGCCCUUUCGGGGGUACGACGAGCGGCGAACGGGUGAGUAACACGUGGGUGACCUGCCCUCAGCUCUGGGAUAAGCCCGGGAAACUGGGUCUAAUACCGGAUAUGACUUCAUGACGCAUGUUGUGGGGUGGAAAGCCUUGUGCGGCUGAGGAUGGGCCCGCGGCCUAUCAGCUUGUUGGUGGGGUGAUGGCCUACCAAGGCGACGACGGGUAGCCGGCCUGAGAGGGCGACCGGCCACACUGGGACUGAGACACGGCCCAGACUCCUACGGGAGGCAGCAGUGGGGAAUCUUGCGCAAUGGGCGAAAGCCUGACGCAGCGACGCCGCGUGAGGGAUGACGGCCU
Molecule: ribosomal RNA, 389 nt
Filed under: uncultured bacterium
Lineage: Bacteria
Description: bacterial SSU rRNA
Rfam family: Bacterial small subunit ribosomal RNA
Source: RNAcentral